Molecule: ribosomal RNA, 551 nt
Filed under: Kocuria sp. BPS_10
Lineage: Bacteria; Bacillati; Actinomycetota; Actinomycetes; Micrococcales; Micrococcaceae
Also listed under: 2 other names
Description: bacterial SSU rRNA
Rfam family: Bacterial small subunit ribosomal RNA
Source: RNAcentral
UAAGCCCGGGAAACUGGGUCUAAUACUGGAUGCUACAUGUCACCGCAUGGUGGUGUGUGGAAAGGGUUUACUGGUCUUGGAUGGGCUCACGGCCUAUCAGCUUGUUGGUGAGGUAAUGGCUCACCAAGGCGACGACGGGUAGCCGGCCUGAGAGGGUGACCGGCCACACUGGGACUGAGACACGGCCCAGACUCCUACGGGAGGCAGCAGUGGGGAAUAUUGCACAAUGGGCGAAAGCCUGAUGCAGCGACGCCGCGUGAGGGAUGACGGCCUUCGGGUUGUAAACCUCUUUCAGCAGGGAAGAAGCCACAAGUGACGGUACCUGCAGAAGAAGCGCCGGCUAACUACGUGCCAGCAGCCGCGGUAAUACGUAGGGCGCAAGCGUUGUCCGGAAUUAUUGGGCGUAAAGAGCUCGUAGGCGGUUUGUCGCGUCUGCUGUGAAAGCCCGGGGCUUAACCCCGGGUGUGCAGUGGGUACGGGCAGACUAGAGUGCAGUAGGGGAGACUGGAAUUCCUGGUGUAGCGGUGGAAUGCGCAGAUAUCAGGAGGAAC